CUGCAUCAUCAAAUACAAAAACAAGUCAGUUUUAUUGUUUAAAUACAAUCAGUCAAUCAACCCGAGGUUCAGAAAAUGGUUCACAUCAUUCACCAUAACGGGCUAUGGCAUUACUCUCGAAUAUGGGUCCGUUGGGCGUUUCUAAAACAGCAACCUUCCCAAUAGGGUUCAUCUUGAUAAACUCCGGAGUCUUGUUUGAGACUCCCAUCUCAAAGUCUGGGACCACUUUCACUUCGACUCCAUUGUAUUCUGCAGCAAUGAGAGCCUUGAAAGAAUUUUUAUUCGUCUUUCCUGCGUGUAAGACC
Long non-coding RNA from Cucumis melo (muskmelon), 305 nucleotides. RefSeq lists it as uncharacterized. The record is from RefSeq and is a predicted model, not a curated record. The transcript has 2 exons. NCBI's taxonomy places the organism in Eukaryota, Viridiplantae, Streptophyta, Magnoliopsida, Cucurbitales, Cucurbitaceae.